This 236-nucleotide ribosomal RNA is filed under the name Phymatostetha perspicillaris. Its description in RNAcentral is "partial small subunit ribosomal RNA". It matches the Rfam family "Eukaryotic small subunit ribosomal RNA", at positions 1257 to 1498 of the family's 1831-position model. The record is from RNAcentral. Lineage: Eukaryota; Metazoa; Arthropoda; Insecta; Hemiptera; Cercopidae.
CUUUCUUGAUUCGGUGGGUGGUGGUGCAUGGCCGUUCUUAGUUGGUGGAGCGAUUUGUCUGGUUAAUUCCGAUUAACGAACGAGACUCUAGCCUGCUAACUAGGCGAUUUCCGGUACCCACAAUAGUGUUACCGGCGAUUCAAUUUCUUCUUAGAGGGACAGGCGGCUCCUAGCCGCACGAGACUGAGCAAUAACAGGUCUGUGAUGCCCUUAGAUGUCCUGGGCCGCACGCGCGC